AGAGGACACAUUCAUCACCACAUGCCUCUACUAAUUUCCCAGCAAGUAAUUGACAACAUUUUCAAGGGAACUUCAUGAAGCUCACUGCAGGUCAACACUGCAGGUCGUUUCUUUCAUGCACAUUAUCUUCCUGAGAUAAGACCUGGAUUAAUCUCUUCUUUAGAAUGACAGAGCAGCUGCAACAUGUGCCCGGUUCCAGAUACAGGAGGAGAAGCCCAACCUCAUCGAAAUCAAUGGGAGGGCAGCUACUUCCUAAUGAUUCUUCCUUUGAAAACAUUUCAGGAGCGAGACAAGAAAAAGAAGACCUUGUGAUAACACAACGCAGGAUGUGCCUUUUGUUUCCGAUGCCUGCCAUAUUCAACCAGCUUGUCAUGGCGUGCCAUUCUGGUGUGACUUUGUGCCAGGCAAGGGUUAUCCCUCCAGCCUGGCCUCUGCUCUUUGUCACUGCCCUCCUGUGGAGAGCAGCUAUGACAGAUGGGCAUAUCUAACAUUUUCUUAAUUUGGCUCUUUCAAACAUCUCAAUUUCAG
Molecule: long non-coding RNA, 528 nt
Filed under: Anser brachyrhynchus (Pink-footed goose)
Lineage: Eukaryota; Metazoa; Chordata; Aves; Anseriformes; Anatidae
Description: lncRNA (ENSABRG00000007825.1)
Source: RNAcentral